Molecule: long non-coding RNA, 619 nt
Organism: Manis javanica (Malayan pangolin)
Lineage: Eukaryota; Metazoa; Chordata; Mammalia; Pholidota; Manidae
Source: RefSeq, a predicted model, not a curated record
GCUAGGAAAUAUCUAGAAGUUUGCUCCACAGAGAGAGGGGAACUAGCUGAAUUUAAGGGCUUUAGGGUUAGUGUUGGAGUUUGUGCAACUUGAAUCAGAGCAAACUGAAGGUGUUUAGGAGGCCCAUCUGUUGAGUCCUGUACCAGGAAGCUCCAUAAGGUGAAUUAUCACAUUGCAAUGAGGUUCUUAGAAGUUACAUGGAGAGAGAUCGUUGAGUGCUGAUUCCUUUCAGUUACUGGUCGACUCAACACUCAUCAUGGGGAGGCCAGAGGCAUGCUGGGAUCUGCUCACCAUCUAGAGACACGGUGACACCUUUCCUCUUCUCAGCCCUGGGAUCAUGUGACUCACCAACUGCCCCAAUCAGGACCUCUCUACAUGCUUCUCCAGCCACACCUACCACACUCUACAACUCCCUCCAAGACAGGACCACCAUGAGGAAAGUGAUACCUGAUUCCACACCGCAGCCACAGCUGCUGCUACCAAGCCCAAACAUUCACCCUCCCCAAGAAGGAAUCAACCUAUGUAACGGAGUGCAGAGAGCAUCAAGUCAGGAAAAAGAACUAAUGACACUUAACCUGACUGCCUAGAGCGAGAGCCACCCAGUCUUUUCUUGUGUAAA